RNAcentral lists this ribosomal RNA (407 nucleotides) under uncultured bacterium. Its description in RNAcentral is "bacterial SSU rRNA". It matches the Rfam family "Bacterial small subunit ribosomal RNA", at positions 355 to 776 of the family's 1533-position model. The record is from RNAcentral.
UUAGGAAUCUUGCACAAUGGGGGCAACCCUGAUGCAGCGACACAGCGUGGAGGAUGAAGGUCUUCGGAUUGUAAACUCCUUUUAUAUGGGACGAAUAGAUGACGGUACCAUAUGAAUAAGUACCUGCUAACUACGUGCCAGAAGCAUCGGUGAUGCGUAGGGUACAAACGUUAUCCGGAUUAAUUGGGCGUAUAGAGAAGCGUAGGCGUUUUUGUCAGUCUUUAGUUAAAGACCACGGCCUAACCGUGGGAGAGCUCGAGAUACUACAAAAAUUGAGACAGGAAUGGGCGAAUGGAAUUCCCAGUGGAGCGGUAAAAUGCGUUGAUAUUGGGAGGAACAUCAGUGGCGAAGGCGAUUCGCUGGUCCUUGUCUGACGCUAAGGCUCGAAAGCGUGGGUAGCAAAACGG